AUGCAAAGACUUGGCCUUGCGUACAACAAUCUAACUGGACAUAUUCCUGAUGAGCUUGGGAAACUGACAAAUAUGUGGAGGUUGAACCUAGGAGGAAAUAUGUUGUCAGGCGACGACCUACCGAAUCUCCAAGAGCUUUACUUGAAUAACAACAUGUUUGAAGGUCAAAUACCGGCUUCACUAGGAAAUGCUUCACGGCUGAAAAGGUUAGAAUUAGGAACCAACUAUUUAACUGGCGAAAUUACCAGCUCUUUAGGGAAACUUUCAAACCUUUAUUAUUUAAACCUUCAGCAAAACAAUCUUGAAGCUGUUGACAAACAAAGCUGGGAAUUCUUCAAUGGGUUAACAAACUGUACUAGUCUUGAAGUGCUGGCAUUGGCUGACAAUCAGCUACAGGGAGGCAUACCCAAUACGAUAGGUAACUUCUCUAGUAGCCUCACUGAAAUAUAUCUUAGCGGAAACAAGCUUUCAGGCAUCGUUCUGUCAAGUGUAGGGAACCUUGGUAGCUUAUAUUUUCUAGGACUUGAAUAUAACAAUUUAACGGGUAUGAUUGAAGAAUGGACUGGGAAGCUAACAAAGUUACAAGGUCUUAACCUCCAAGUGAACUGCUUCAUUGGGUCGUUGCCAUCAUCCCUUGGCCAGCUUACUCAGUUGACAGAGCUCAAUCUAGCAAACAAUAAAUUUGAAGGCCCUAUACCACCCACCUUAGGGAACUUGCAACAACUCUCGCUUUUGAACCUUAGUCAGAACAACCUUAAGGGUAACAUACCUAUUCAGGUUGGGGGCCUUAGAGCAUCUCCAGCUGUUGGCUCCCCAGGGGGCUCGUAA
RNAcentral lists this ribosomal RNA (828 nucleotides) under Triticum aestivum (bread wheat). RNAcentral describes it as "partial small subunit ribosomal RNA". Lineage: Eukaryota; Viridiplantae; Streptophyta; Magnoliopsida; Poales; Poaceae. The record is from RNAcentral.